CUCCUACGGGAGGCAGCAGUGGGGAAUUUUCCGCAAUGGGCGAAAGCCUGACGGAGCAAUACCGCGUGGGGGAGGAAGGCUCUUGGGUCGUAAACCUCUUUUCUCAGGGAAGAAUAAAAUGACGGUACCUGAGGAAUCAGCAUCGGCUAACUCCGUGCCAGCAGCCGCGGUAAUACGGAGGAUGCAAGCGUUAUCCGGAAUGAUUGGGCGUAAAGCGUCCGCAGGUGGCAGUGUAAGUCUGCUGUCAAAGGUCAGGGCUUAACCCUGAACAGGCAGUGGAAACUACACAGCUAGAGUGCGGUGGGGGCAGAGGGAAUUCCCAGUGUAGCGGUGAAAUGCGUAGAGAUUGGGAAGAACACCGGUGGCGAAAGCGCUCUGCUAGGCCGUAACUGACACUCAUGGACGAAAGCUAGGGGAGCGAAUGGGAUUAGAUACCCCAGUAGUCCUAGCCGUAAACGAUGGAUACUAGGCGUAGCUCGUAUCGACCCGAGCUGUGCCGUAGCUAACGCGUUAAGUAUCCCGCCUGGGGAGUACGCUCGCAAGAGUGAAACUCAAAGGAAUUGACGG
RNAcentral lists this ribosomal RNA (567 nucleotides) under uncultured bacterium. RNAcentral describes it as "bacterial SSU rRNA". It matches the Rfam family "Bacterial small subunit ribosomal RNA", at positions 336 to 916 of the family's 1533-position model. The record is from RNAcentral.